RNAcentral lists this ribosomal RNA (552 nucleotides) under Chlorophthalmus albatrossis. Its description in RNAcentral is "partial 12S ribosomal RNA". It matches the Rfam family "Bacterial small subunit ribosomal RNA", at positions 307 to 992 of the family's 1533-position model. Lineage: Eukaryota; Metazoa; Chordata; Actinopteri; Aulopiformes; Chlorophthalmidae. The record is from RNAcentral.
ACCCCUGUGAGGAUGCCCCCAAAUUUCCCGCCCGAAAACGAGGAGCCGGUAUCAGGCGCGCAUCAGCUGCAGCCCAAGACGCCUUGCUAAGCCACACCCCCAAGGGACAUCAGCAGUGAUAGACAUUAAGCAAUGAGUGAAAACUCGACUUAGUUACGGUUAAACCAGGGCCGGUCAAUCUCGUGCCAGCCGCCGCGGUUAUACGAGCAGGCCCAAGUUGACAGACUCCGGCGUAAAGAGUGGUUACGGAUACAAACCACUAAAGUUAAACACCCCCCUCACUGUGAUACGCGCCCGGGGGUUGGAGGCUCCGCUACGAAAGUGACUUUAAUACCCCUCCCGAACCCACGACAGCCAGGGAACAAACUGGGAUUAGAUACCCCACUAUGCCUGGCCCCAAACUUUGAUUUUCGUAUACGUACAUUAUCCGCCCGGGUACUACAAGCGCCAGCUUAAAACCCAAAGGACUUGGCGGUGCUUCAGACCCACCUAGAGGAGCCUGUUCUGGAAUCGAUAAUCCCCGUUCAACCUCACCAUCUCUGGCCAACAUCC